CAUUGCGCAGCUACACAUGCAGUCGAGCGGUAGCACAGAGAGCUUGCUCUCGGGUGACGAGCGGCGGACGGGUGAGUAAUGUCUGGGAAACUGCCUGAUGGAGGGGGAUAACUACUGGAAACGGUAGCUAAUACCGCAUAACGUCGCAAGACCAAAGUGGGGGACCUUCGGGCCUCAUGCCAUCAGAUGUGCCCAGAUGGGAUUAGCUAGUAGGUGGGGUAACGGCUCACCUAGGCGACGAUCCCUAGCUGGUCUGAGAGGAUGACCAGCCACACUGGAACUGAGACACGGUCCAGACUCCUACGGGAGGCAGCAGUGGGGAAUAUUGCACAAUGGGCGCAAGCCUGAUGCAGCCAUGCCGCGUGUGUGAAGAAGGCCUUCGGGUUGUAAAGCACUUUCAGCGGGGAGGAAGGCGAUAAGGUUAAUAACCUUGGCGAUUGACGUUACCCGCAGAAGAAGCACCGGCUAACUCCGUGCCAGCAGCCGCGGUAAUACGGAGGGUGCAAGCGUUAAUCGGAAUUACUGGGCGUAAAGCGCACGCAGGCGGUCUGUCAAGUCGGAUGUGAAAUCCCCGGGCUCAACCUGGGAACUGCAUUCGAAACUGGCAGGCUAGAGUCUUGUAGAGGGGGGUAGAAUUCCAGGUGUAGCGGUGAAAUGCGUAGAGAUCUGGAGGAAUACCGGUGGCGAAGGCGGCCCCCUGGACAAAGACUGACGCUCAGGUGCGAAAGCGUGGGGAGCAAACAGGAUUAGAUACCCUGGUAGUCCACGCCGUAAACGAUGUCGAUUUGGAGGUUGUGCCCUUGAGGCGUGGCUUCCGGAGCUAACGCGUUAAAUCGACCGCCUGGGGAGUACGGCCGCAAGGUUAAAACUCAAAUGAAUUGACGGGGGCCCGCACAAGCGGUGGAGCAUGUGGUUUAAUUCGAUGCAACGCGAAGAACCUUACCUGGUCUUGACAUCCACAGAACUUUCCAGAGAUGGAUUGGUGCCUUCGGGAACUGUGAGACAGGUGCUGCAUGGCUGUCGUCAGCUCGUGUUGUGAAAUGUUGGGUUAAGUCCCGCAACGAGCGCAACCCUUAUCCUUUGUUGCCAGCGGUUAGGCCGGGAACUCAAAGGAGACUGCCAGUGAUAAACUGGAGGAAGGUGGGGAUGACGUCAAGUCAUCAUGGCCCUUACGACCAGGGCUACACACGUGCUACAAUGGCAUAUACAAAGAGAAGCGACCUCGCGAGAGCAAGCGGACCUCAUAAAGUAUGUCGUAGUCCGGAUUGGAGUCUGCAACUCGACUCCAUGAAGUCGGAAUCGCUAGUAAUCGUAGAUCAGAAUGCUACGGUGAAUACGUUCCCGGGCCUUGUACACACCGCCCGUCACACCAUGGGAGUGGGUUGCAAAAGAAGUAGGUAGCUUAACCUUCGGGAGGGCGCUACCACUUUGAUAGGG
This 1437-nucleotide ribosomal RNA is filed under the name Klebsiella pneumoniae. RNAcentral describes it as "bacterial SSU rRNA". It matches the Rfam family "Bacterial small subunit ribosomal RNA". Lineage: Bacteria; Pseudomonadati; Pseudomonadota; Gammaproteobacteria; Enterobacterales; Enterobacteriaceae. The record is from RNAcentral.